ACGAUUUAAAACAUCCCAAGAUUUUUUUUGAGUCGGAAUCAAUCUUACUUCAUGCCUAAGUCAUUUUCCGUAAAUCACAAAGAAAAUAAGUCCAUUCGACAAUACAUUUUAAAACAUUCUAAACCAAGCACAACAAAACUGAAAAUUGUUUUCUUUUGUACCUCAAGUCCAAAACACCCCGUGUUCUGAAACUCCAUAAGCUCAAAAAAUCAGCACACUUUGAACAACUUCCAACAACAAUGGCAAGAUUUUUCCCCUUCAAGAAUCUCUCCAUUCCACCUAAAUCAAGAACCCCAACAACCCAUUUCCACCCUUGUAACCCCACAGACAAACAAGUAGAAACUCUUUACAACAUCAUCACAACAACACAAACUCCACAACUCCUCAAAAACUCACUCAAAUCCUCACAAAUCAAACUAACAAACGACUUAAUUGACAAAGUCCUUAAAAGGGUACGUUUUUCUCAUUCCAACUCAUUACAAGCACUUGAAUUCUUUAACUAUGCUAAUAAGCCAAAAGGGUUUUUUCAUACUGAAUUUUCUUUAAAUACGAUGUUGUAUGUACUAGGUAGAAGUCGUAAAUUCGAUAAGAUUUGGGAGGUUUUAGUUGAUAUGAAGAGAAAAGAUCAAUCUUGUAUAACACCCAAGACAGUUCAGGUUGUGUUGGGGAGAGUAGCUAAGGUGUGUUCAGUUAGGGAAACUGUUGAGUGCUUUUGGGGUUUCAAGAAAAUGGUUAAGGAGUUUGGGGUUGAUUGUUUUAAUGCAUUGUUGAGGAGUUUGUGUCAGGAGAAGAGUAUGAGUGAUGCUAGGAAUGUGUAUCAUAGGUUGAAGUAUACGUUUAGGCCGAAUAUUCAGACGUUUAAUGUGCUUUUGUCGGGUUGGAAGUCGUGUGAGGAUGCGGAGGGUUUUUUUAAGGAGAUGAAGGAGUUGGGCGUUGAACCGGAUGUUGUUUCGUUUAAUUGUUUGGUGGAUGUGUAUUGUAAAGGGAGAGAGAUGGAGAAGGCGUAUAGGGUGGUGGAGGAGAUGAGAGGAAAGGAUAUUGAUCCGGAUGUGAUAACUUAUACGAGUUUGAUUGGGGGGUUGGGGUUGGUUGGACAACCGGAUAAGGCGAGGCAUGUUUUGAAGGAGAUGAGGGAGUAUGGAUGUUAUCCGGAUGCGGCUGCUUAUAAUGCUGCAAUUAGGAACUUUUGCAUUGCGAAGAGGAUUGGGGAUGCGUAUAGUUUGAUGGAUGAUAUGGUUAGAAAUGGGUUGAGCCCUAAUGCUACUACUUAUAAUGUGUUCUUGAGGUCGUUUUUUUGGAUAAAUGAUUUGAGAAGUUCGUGGACUUUGUACCAGAGGAUGAAGGAGACUGGAUGUUUACUGAGUACACAGUCAUGUAUGUUUUUGAUUAGGUUGAUCAGGAGACACGAGAAAGUGGAGAUGGCAAUUGAGUUGUGGGACGACAUGAUUGAGAGAGGAUUUGGCUCAUAUAUUUUGGUAUCUGAUGUUUUGUUUGAUUUGCUUUGUGAUCUGGGAAAGUUGACGGAGGCAGAAAGAUGUUUCUUUCAAAUGGUAGAUAAAGGACAAAAACCAAGUAAUGUUUCUUUUAGGAGGAUCAAGGUGCUUAUGGAAUUGACUAAUAAACCGGAGGCUCUUAAGAUUUUGUCAGAAAAGAUGGCUGCUUUUGGUUCCUCCACACAACUGAUCCAAGAGGAUAAAGCGGAACAUGAACAAUCAAGUUCCGACUUUGCAACCAACUGAAUGCUGACUCUGAUUCCGGUACCUCACUAAUGUCCGAUAAGUUUUUCGGUCCUCAACCUGAUGCAUUGGUUUAAUUAUGUAGCAUAGUCAAUGUUGCAGACCUCUAAUCAAGAACUCUACAAAUGAGGUUAUUCAUCAAGACUUGGGGAAGCUGUCCCACAAAUAUUGUCAAGGGCCCAUCAGAGACAACCUCUCUACCGUCACAGGGUACGGGUAAGGCUGCGUAUGCACCACCCUCCCCAAACCCCACUUGUGGGAUUACUCGGGAAAUGUUGUUGUAUAUUGACACCUUUUAUUUCUCUAUUCAGAUGAAACCAGACACGAGUUAUUUUCUUUUUGCAAGGGAGGACACUACGCACGGUUAAGAACUUGGUGGAUAAUGGGCUCACCUGUUUAUCCAUCUUCACUUACAUAUCUGGCUUUUAUCCACUGGAUGAUCCAAACUCGUGAUGUGCACCUAACUCACACAUCAGGUGUUGCGCUCUUACUGCUAUAACAAGGCCUUUAACUCAUUUGUUGAUGUUGUAAAGUACUAUGGAGUACAACAGUGUGCUUGAAAAUGUUGAUCACCAACUCAGUACUUCCAUGUAUAAUAUUUUUACUGUACGGCAGUACUUGAAUUAGCCUUUCUAAGGUACUUAAAUUUGUGCUUGGUGGUGAGCGAGGAAAAACCAACCUUGUAACUUGUACGUGUUCAUGGCGAUAAAACAAACAAUACAUUCAUGAUACCGCGCAAAAA
RNA transcript from Capsicum annuum, 2478 nucleotides. It is a transcript of the gene named putative pentatricopeptide repeat-containing protein At1g02420, with no coding region annotated. The record is from RefSeq and is a predicted model, not a curated record. NCBI's taxonomy places the organism in Eukaryota, Viridiplantae, Streptophyta, Magnoliopsida, Solanales, Solanaceae. The transcript is spliced from 3 exons.